UUGUGGGGUUGAGGACCGGCAAAAAGAGGAAACUUCUUAGUCGAAUGGUUUGGAAAGGCCAUGCACAGAAGGUAAAACACCUGUAGGCGAAAAGAAGUCAAUCGGGCUGGUAUCCAGAGUACUGCGAGACACGUGAAACCUUGCAGGAAGCAGGGGGGACCACCCUCCAAGGCAAAAUACUACUUGGCGACCGAUAGCGCAUAGUACCGUGAGGGAAAGGUGAAAAGAACCCCGGGAGGGGAGUGAAAUAGAACCUGAAACCGUAUGUCUACAAGCAGUCGAAGCACCUUAAGAGUGCGACGGCGUGCCUAUUGAAGAAUGAACCGGCGAGUUACAUUAUGUUGCGAGGUUAAGUGGGAGACACGGAGCCGAAGCGAAAGCGAGUCUUAAUAGGGCGACUAGUAACAUGGUGUAGACCCGAAACCGCAGUGAUCUAUCCAUGGUCAGGUUGAAGCGCAGGUAAAAAUGCGUGGAGGACCGAACCCGUGAGUGUUGAAAAACUUUGGGAUGAACCGUGGAUAGGGGUGAAAUGCCAAUCGAACGCGGAGAUAGCUGGUACUCCCCGAAAUAGCUUUAGGGCUAGCCUCAGGGAAGAUUAUAGACGGUAGAGCACUGAUCUGGCAAGGGGGCGUAAAGCCUACCGACCCUAGUCAAACUUCGAAUGGCUAUAAUUAAGACCCUGGGAGUCAGACUGCGAGUGAUAAGACCCGUAGUCAAGAGGGAAACAGCCCAGACCGCCGACUAAGGUCCCCAAUGCUGUACUAAGUGGAAAAGGAUGUAAGACUUCAUAAACAACCAGGAUGUUGGCUUAGAAGCAGCCACCAUUAAAAGAGUGCGUAAUAGCUCACUGGUCGAGAGGCCUUGCGCCGAAGAUGUCCGGGGCUCAAGUACAGAACCGAAGUCGCGGCAGGAUUAUAUAAUUCUGGGUAGGGGAGCGUUGUAUAUCCGACUGAAGGUGUACCGGAAGGAGCGCUGGAGGAUAUACAAGAGAGAAUGCCGGUAUGAGUAGCGAAAAGAACAGUGAGAAUCUGUUCCACCGAAAGCCUAAGGUUUCCUGAGCAACGCUCGUCGACUCAGGGUAAGUCGGGACCUAAGCCGAGGCAAAAAGCAUAGGCGAUGGACAACAGGUUAAUAUUCCUGUACCGCUUCAAAUCGUUUGAGCAAUGGAGUGACACAGAAGGUAGCUUGAGCACGCGAAUGGAUGUGCGUGUCGAAGGUGGUAGGUUGCAGUAUAGGCAAAUCCGUACUGUAUAAGACCGAGAACUGAUAGAUAGACGAUACUUCGGUAAAGUCAAAUUCAAGUGAGCCAUGCUGUCGAGAAAAGCUUCUAGUGAGAGAUGAGGCGCCCGUACCGAAACCGACACAGGUAGGCGGGGAGAGAAUCCUAAGGUGCGCGGGACAACCCUCGUUAAGGAACUCGGCAAAUUGUAUCCGUAACUUAGGGAUAAGGAUAGCCGGAGGAUGUGAAGGGAUUUACUUCUGGAGCGUCAGCCGGUGGCACAAGAGAGGCCCAAGCGACUGUUUAGCACAAACACAGGUGCCUGCAAAAGAGAAAUCUGACGUAUAGGUGCUGACACCUGCCCGGUGCUGGAAGGUUAAGAGGAGGGCUUAGAGGAAACUCGAAGGCUUGAAUUGAAGCCCCAGUAAACGGCGGCCGUAACUAUAACGGUCCUAAGGUAGCGAAAUUCCUUGUCGGGU
RNAcentral lists this ribosomal RNA (1698 nucleotides) under human gut metagenome. Its description in RNAcentral is "bacterial LSU rRNA". It matches the Rfam family "Bacterial large subunit ribosomal RNA", at positions 290 to 1977 of the family's 2925-position model. The record is from RNAcentral.